This 588-nucleotide ribosomal RNA is filed under the name Streptomyces chilikensis. Its description in RNAcentral is "bacterial SSU rRNA". It matches the Rfam family "Bacterial small subunit ribosomal RNA", at positions 462 to 1049 of the family's 1533-position model. The record is from RNAcentral. Lineage: Bacteria; Bacillati; Actinomycetota; Actinomycetes; Kitasatosporales; Streptomycetaceae.
AGCGAAAGUGACGGUACCUGCAGAAGAAGCGCCGGCUAACUACGUGCCAGCAGCCGCGGUAAUACGUAGGGCGCAAGCGUUGUCCGGAAUUAUUGGGCGUAAAGAGCUCGUAGGCGGCUUGUCGCGUCGGUUGUGAAAGCCCGGGGCUUAACCCCGGGUCUGCAGUCGAUACGGGCAGGCUAGAGUUCGGUAGGGGAGAUCGGAAUUCCUGGUGUAGCGGUGAAAUGCGCAGAUAUCAGGAGGAACACCGGUGGCGAAGGCGGAUCUCUGGGCCGAUACUGACGCUGAGGAGCGAAAGCGUGGGGAGCGAACAGGAUUAGAUACCCUGGUAGUCCACGCCGUAAACGGUGGGCACUAGGUGUGGGCAACAUUCCACGUUGUCCGUGCCGCAGCUAACGCAUUAAGUGCCCCGCCUGGGGAGUACGGCCGCAAGGCUAAAACUCAAAGGAAUUGACGGGGGCCCGCACAAGCGGCGGAGCAUGUGGCUUAAUUCGACGCAACGCGAAGAACCUUACCAAGGCUUGACAUACACCGGAAAGCAUCAGAGAUGGUGCCCCCCUUGUGGUCGGUGUACAGGUGGUGCAUGGC